RNAcentral lists this transfer RNA (72 nucleotides) under Thermomonospora echinospora. RNAcentral's name for it is "Actinomadura echinospora tRNA". It matches the Rfam family "tRNA". From Rfam's summary of the family: Transfer RNA (tRNA) molecules are approximately 80 nucleotides in length. Their secondary structure includes four short double-helical elements and three loops (D, anti-codon, and T loops). The record is from Rfam by way of RNAcentral. Lineage: Bacteria; Bacillati; Actinomycetota; Actinomycetes; Streptosporangiales; Thermomonosporaceae.
GUGUCCGUGGUGUGGUGGUCUGCACGCCGGGUUGUGGCCCCGGAAGUUCCGGUUCGAUCCCGGGCGGACGCC